GGAAGGAGGGAAGGAGGGAAGGAGGGAAGGAGGGAAGGAGGGAAGGAGGGAAGGAGGGAAGGAGGGAAGGAGGGAAGGAGGGAAGGAGGGAAGGAGGGAAGGAGGGAAGGAGGGAAGGAGGGAAGGAGGGAAGGAGGGAAGGAGGGAAGGAGGGAAGGAGGGAAGGAGGGAAGACAAGGAAAUAAAUGCUAUUUUAGCAGAGAGAAACACAAGCCACAGAAAAGAAUAAAAGGUGAAACUAAAGGAAAGGUAGAAACAAAAUUCCUAUUUAUCCCAUUCUCUAACAUUGGUCCUAAAGACACUUCAUCAAAUACCAUCAGUACACAGGAUCAGCAGCUCUGAUAACUUCCAUCACGUAAAUUUUUUUCCAAUAGAAUUGCAAAUAAAGCAGGAGGCAGAAUCCUUCAGCUGACAGGAAGCACAGAGGGUCAGAGUUAGGCACUUGGAGUGCCACACUCACAGAUUAUCAGAAUUGUUCCUAAUGCUGCAGGAAUGGCCUUUUCAUGCCCCUCCUUUAUUCCUGAGUUGGGCUAUACUGAGAUAAUCCCCAUUCAGCUAAAACACCCCAAACAUGCCUUAACUCCCAAAUUUUACAAACUGCUCCACUGUGCCUGUGUGGAUCCCACCAGGCCUCCCCUGGAUGGGAGGCACAAAUUAAUCAGGACUGAGAGACUGCUCCACUCCAGCUGCCACAGAGCACUGCUCUGAUUUAUGCAAAGCACUCUGAUAGUAUCCCACUGAGUUGUGAUCAAAAUCUGUCACCUGAUUUACAUCUCCCAGCACAACACAGCAUUUGUUCUCCAUUUUUUUGGGCUCUAUUAUGUGGGCAGGUAAAAUAAUUCUAAUGAUACAGGCUUCCUACUUAUUUUAAAGAGUCUGCAGAGGAGGGGAAAAGCUGUGUUUUAAGGGGUUUAUUUGUGUUGCCUAUCAAAAGUGAGAGUGAAAAGAAGUUUAAUAGAUUUGUUCCACCUUUAGAUGGGCUGCAUCACUUCAUAGUUUAAAAAGCAGUCAGAAAUACAUUAGCAUUUCAGACUAAAUAUAGCUGUCAAAAAUGUAAAUUUCUUUUUUAGAAAAACUCUAUGUGCUAAAAAAGAACUCAGCUUUUAUGCAUAAUAAAAAGGCAAAUAUGUCUGCUUAGUCAAUAUGCUGCUAAUUUAAUUACAAAACCCAUGGAGAGUCUUCAAAAAAAUUCUAAGUAUAUAAUGAAUACUUGGUUUGCUCAGCCUGACUACAAGCAAAUAUGUUUUAACAAAGAAAUAAACUGGCAAUUGUUGCUGUGUUCUCAUUAUAUGUAUCCUAAUCCCUUUUUUUUUUGUUUUGUUUAAAAUUUAAUGGGAAAAUAAUUUCUAUUAAAUUCCUUCAAUUAUUCCAGUCCUUACUGACCUUCUUUCCAGAAGUACUAAUAAACCAACAUGUACUGGUUGUUACUAACCUGACCCUUUUAAAUGGCUUUUCAGCCAUAUUUUUUCCUAUUUUUUCCUCUCAGUAUAAACAUGUAACACAGAACUUCUCAAAUUUAAGAAAGUUUGAGACCUGACCUUGGAAAAGGUGCUGAUUUUAGGAGAAAAAAAUAAUCAAAGUUUAGAAAUGGUUCCACAUCACAUAUAAUCACUAUUACUCAUAAAACUGAGAUAUUCACCAUCACCAGUCUGUAAAAGAACACACAGUUCACAGACAUUCUCAGGAAAGCUUUGCCAGAAUGAUGAGUUCCAGGUUUUCUGGCAUUUCCCAAGCUCCCAAAAGUAUCAAGAGCCAAGAGGUUUAGAAAUCCAGCAAUCCCAAACACCACACUAUGGAUUAGGGACAGGACAAACAACAUCCAGGCUGGAAAAGUGACCUAUUUAUCAGAGGCCAUCCCUGCAGCCUGCCCCAGUCAAUCCAGGCUGCUCUCUCCCCUCAACACUUCUCCUUGUGCCAGGAAGGAAUGGGAUGCUGUGCAGCAAGUGAUUUGGCUCUAUUUUUAAUUAUUAUUAUGAUUAUCAAAGCUGUGACAUGGUUAGGAGUGUCAGCUCAGAGAAGGGAGCUGGGGGUGGCAUUGAAGCGAGUUAAAGCAGUGACAAAGCUGCACUUUUGAGCAGCAGGAAGUCAGCCAGGGAUACCCCAAGCUCUCCCUUCUCCCUUGGAGGGAGAGCACUUGAAAUCAAAUCUGCCAAGCCAGCAUUAAACCAUCCAUCACCAACUUCCCAAAAUGUUAGGGAUUACUGCUCAUUAAAGAGCCUCCUCACUGGAAUGCACAUGAGCAUCUUCUGCUUUCCAGGAAAACCCACAUUUUGUGAGCAGGAUGAUUUUAGUUUCCUCAGUUCACUUUUCCAAAGCACUGUGUUAAGGACUGGGCUUAAGUUACCUCCACAAGAACUCUGACACUCACCACUGGCUUUCACUCUCCUGUUUCCCCCAUAUGCUCCAACUGUUUAUUAUCUUCUAUCAGAGCUCAGAAUUUGUUUACUUGAUCUUGUAUUUAGAUCAAGUCAGACACAAAUGCAGCAUAUUGAAAAGAAACUCUUACAGUUUUUAGAAUCCAUUCUUCAAAAACCCCCCUAUGUCAAGUCCUAACACACUAAAAAUUAUAUUAUUUACAGACAGCCCAUGAAGAAAGACAAAAGUAAAAGCUACUCUGAAAGACACUGUAUUACAAUCUCAGUUUUCAUCAGUUAAGAGUUGUUAGACUGGCACUGAGCUCUGGUUUCAUUUUUAUUUUAACCCCACAUUCCUCUUUAGCCAUUUUAGAUGAAAAGCCACCCAGGCUGAUUUAGUUAACAAAACCUUGGAUAACACGAUUGGUUUCUCCAGAAAGAAAAUAUAUUUAAAAACAAACAAAUUAUAAACCUCACAGGGUGGCAGAUGAUUUGUGCUGAGAUACAAAGUGAUUACAACUUUGUGAGAACAACUACACGACUUGUAACACCUCCAGAGCUCUGAAGUGAUGAGGAGUAUUAAAUCCUGACAACAAAAACAGAACAAAAAGAGUCACUCCCAUAUUUCAGGUAAUUUACCACCAUAAUAGCAUUGAGCAAUGCUGUUCAAAUAGAAAUAAAUGCUGAUGUUUAGAAAUGCGACAAUCUACAGACGUCUGAAGAGCUCAGACACUCUCAGCUUCCCUCAUGCAGGUUGUGACAUAUCGCAUUAAAUAUUUGAGGCCACCAAAGGUGGGGGGGGGACGACAAACACUCGGGGACGUUUGUGACACACAAAAACAAAUCACCAGCGUCCAGGGUCAGCGCCGGGGAGUUCAGCCAAGUUCAGAAAUCAGACACCGCGCUGCCGCGGUUCCUGUGACACCGCACAGCUCAGCCCGAGCACACAUUGCCACCUGUCCUCGUCCGCAGAGGUCCCGGCUCUGGAACUCCGUGGAACAGCUCCCCGAUGGAGCCAGCGAGCGCCGGCUGGCUCCGGGAGCAGCGAAGGGCACCGAGAGCCCCGAGGGGAGCCGCAGGCACAUGGGCUGUACGAGCUAGACUCAAAAGGCUGUUAAUGCUAAACCUGAGAUUUGCAUCUUUACACUCCUGACACAGCCACGACAGGGACAAAGGUUUGUAGUCAAGCUUGGACUCCAGCUUCUUGGAAUCAGCCACUUUCCUGACAGCUUUCAUGAAAUCUUCCUGAACUACGAAGUCAUGAUCAGCACGG
Molecule: long non-coding RNA, 3627 nt
Organism: Serinus canaria (Common canary)
Lineage: Eukaryota; Metazoa; Chordata; Aves; Passeriformes; Fringillidae
Exons: 3
Source: RefSeq, a predicted model, not a curated record